Anas platyrhynchos (mallard) is the source of this 326-nucleotide long non-coding RNA. RefSeq lists it as uncharacterized. The record is from RefSeq and is a predicted model, not a curated record. NCBI's taxonomy places the organism in Eukaryota, Metazoa, Chordata, Aves, Anseriformes, Anatidae.
GCUGUUUAUAAGAAAGGCCUUGACGACCAGAACCAAGUGAGAAGAUGCUUGAUUUUGCUCUGUUUCUGUUGAUUCUCCCCAGGUUGCUUUGUAACCUUCACUGGGCUAAUCCUCACCCCUCUAAUGGGAUGACUAUAGGAGCACCACACCAGAACCUGUGAAUUGUCGUGUGGCAGGGACAGGAUAAAACACUUAGCAGUUUACUAAGACCGGAGCCUUUCACUCAAAAGCUUUAGAAAGUCAAAAACAGGAAAGAAGACAGAAGACUCAGCAUGAACUAAGUUGCUUAAUGGUAAGUUCUCAUCUUGCUUAUCUAUAUAAAUUUC